GAUGAACGCUGGCGGCGUGCCUAAUACAUGCAAGUCGAGCGGACGGACGAGGAGCUUGCUUCUCGGAUGUUAGCGGCGGAGGGGUGAGUAACACGUGGAUCACCUACCUAUAAGAGUGGUAUAACUACGGGAAAGCGGAGAUAAUAGGGGAUAAUAUUUUGAAGCGCGGGGGUCAAAGGUGAAAGACGGUGUUGGUGUCUCUUCUAGAUGGAUCUGCGCUGCAUUAGCUGGUAGUGAAGGUCACGGCUUACGAAGGCAAGGAUGCAUAGCCCAGCGGAGAGGGGGAUCGCCCACACGGGAACUGAGACGCGGUCCAGACUCCUACGGGAGGCAGCAGUAGGGAAUCUGCCGCAAUGGGCGAAAGCCUGACGGAGCAACGCCGCGUGAGUGAUGACAGCCUUGGGAGCGUAAAACUCUGUUAUUAGGUAAGAACAUAUGUGUAAGUAACCGUGCACAUAUUGACGGUAACUAAUCAGAAAGCAACGGCUAACUACGUG
This 497-nucleotide ribosomal RNA is filed under the name uncultured bacterium. RNAcentral's name for it is "partial 16S ribosomal RNA". It matches the Rfam family "Bacterial small subunit ribosomal RNA", at positions 28 to 507 of the family's 1533-position model. The record is from RNAcentral.